RNAcentral lists this ribosomal RNA (239 nucleotides) under Vibrio parahaemolyticus. Its description in RNAcentral is "partial 16S ribosomal RNA". It matches the Rfam family "Bacterial small subunit ribosomal RNA", at positions 1 to 226 of the family's 1533-position model. Lineage: Bacteria; Pseudomonadati; Pseudomonadota; Gammaproteobacteria; Vibrionales; Vibrionaceae. The record is from RNAcentral.
AAAUUGAAGAGUUUGAUCAUGGCUCAGAUUGAACGCUGGCGGCAGGCCUAACACAUGCAAGUCGAGCGGAAACGAGUUAUCAGAACCUUCGGGGAACGAUAACGGCGUCGAGCGGCGGACGGGUGAGUAAUGCCUAGGAAAUUGCCCUGAUGUGGGGGAUAACCAUUGGAAACGAUGGCUAAUACCGCAUGAUGCCUACGGGCCAAAGAGGGGGACCUUCGGGCCUCUCGCGUCAGGAU